GUGGGGAAUAUUGGACAAUGGGCGAAAGCCUGAUCCAGCCAUGCCGCGUGUGUGAAGAAGGUCUUCGGAUUGUAAAGCACUUUAAGUUGGGAGGAAGGGCAGUAAGUUAAUACCUUGCUGUUUUGACGUUACCGACAGAAUAAGCACCGGCUAACUUCGUGCCAGCAGCCGCGGUAAUACGAAGGGUGCAAGCGUUAAUCGGAAUUACUGGGCGUAAAGCGCGCGUAGGUGGUUUUGUAAGUUGGAGGUGAAAUCCCCGGGCUCAACCUGGGAACUGCCUCCAAAACUGCAUGACUAGAGUACGGUAGAGGGUAGUGGAAGUUCCUGUGUAGCGGUGAAAUGCGUAGAUAUAGGAAGGAACACCAGUGGCGAAGGCGACUACCUGGACUGAUACUGACACUGAGGUGCGAAAGCGUGGGGAGCAAACAGGAUUAGAUACCCGAGUAGUCC
RNAcentral lists this ribosomal RNA (450 nucleotides) under uncultured bacterium. Its description in RNAcentral is "bacterial SSU rRNA". It matches the Rfam family "Bacterial small subunit ribosomal RNA", at positions 354 to 796 of the family's 1533-position model. The record is from RNAcentral.